Caretta caretta (loggerhead turtle) is the source of this 1177-nucleotide non-coding RNA. The record is from RefSeq and is a predicted model, not a curated record. Lineage: Eukaryota; Metazoa; Chordata; Testudines; Cheloniidae.
UACAGACAUUCCUUUGGAAAAGGGCCCAUUUUUCUUUCAGAAUGGCUGCAAAGAAACCAAGAAUGCUCUUUCUCUAACACUUUUCCUUUUUAACAUUUUCGGUUAAAAGUUGUUUGGGUGAAAUACAAAGUUUAACUGCUUAAUUCCCUCCAGCCUCUGCAGAGUUAACUUUUUUUUUUUACUCUCUUUUCUCUUUAAAAAAAGAAAAGGAGGACUUGUGGCACCUUAGAGACUAACCAAUUUAUUUGAGCAUGAGCUUUCGUGAGCUACAGCUCACUUCAUCACUUAAUCACUUUGUAAUUAUGCCUGGGGGUGCCGUACAUAGGACCUUCUCCCCCUUUACCUGCCUCCCUCCAGCCUCUGCAGAGUUAACUUUUUCACUCUUUUUGUAUUUCUGGAGUGCCUCUUUCACUAUUUUCAGCUGGCUUUGGGUAUUUGUAGCCAGCACCUUCCAAUUGUCUGCUCCCUUUUCCGUUUGUGCCUUUUCCUCUUUACAUGAAGACAAGCGGAGGGAAGAAUCCUUACAUGCCUCUCACAACAACCAAAUUGCUGCUGCAUCUCUUUUGGCAGCACUAGAAGGUUUAUAUAAGAGGAUAUACUGAGCCAAUCUAUCCUCUAGGUCCGAAAUAGUGCAGACAUCAGCUAGGGCUUGUUUAGUCUAAGGACUGUGCCCAAAUUUUUGAAGGAUUUGUUUAAAAGGUGUAAUUUCUUUAACAAAAGGUGAGGUUGGAGUUCCUUCUGACUCCAUUCCUCCCUCUGGUACUGGCUUACCCUGUUUUCUUUUAAACAUCUUAACAUGGAUAUUUCAAACUCUUUGUCACUGCUGGUAUUACUUAGCAAGUGACACAGCCUAGAUUCUGAAAUCAUAGCUUAAUCUAUGCGUUUUUCCCCUGCUACCUUCCCGGAGGCCAGCAGGUCCCCUGCUACCUUCCCAGAGGCCAGCAGGUCCAGUUAACCUAUUUCUCCCUGCUACCUUCUCGGAGGCCAGCAGGUCCGGUUAACCUGUUCUUCCCUGCUACCUUCUCGGAGGCCAGCAGGUCCCCUGCUACCUUCCUGGAGGCCAGCAGGUCUAGUUUAAUCUGUUUUCCCUGCUACCUUCUCGGAGGCCAGCAGGUCCCCUGCUACCUUCUCGGAGGCCAGCAGGUCUGGUUUAAUCUGUUUUUCCUGCUACCUUCUC